This 64-nucleotide transfer RNA is filed under the name Microrhagus sp. ZM-2022. RNAcentral describes it as "tRNA-His". Lineage: Eukaryota; Metazoa; Arthropoda; Insecta; Coleoptera; Eucnemidae. The record is from RNAcentral.
AUUCAAGUAAUUUAAGAAAAAUUUUAUUUUGUGGGAAUAAAUAUGUGAUUAUACACCUUGAAUA